RNAcentral lists this transfer RNA (76 nucleotides) under Chloroflexota bacterium. RNAcentral describes it as "Chloroflexi bacterium (Noosa River metagenome) tRNA-Pro". It matches the Rfam family "tRNA". Rfam says of the family: Transfer RNA (tRNA) molecules are approximately 80 nucleotides in length. Lineage: Bacteria; Bacillati; Chloroflexota. The record is from RNAcentral.
CGGGGAGUGGCGCAGUUGGAAGCGCGCCGCGUUUGGGACGCGGAGGCCCGGGGUUCAAGUCCCCGCUCCCCGACUA